AUGAACGCUGGCGGCGUGCCUAAUACAUGCAAGUCGAGCGAACGGACGAGAAGCUUGCUUCUCUGAUGUUAGCGGCGGACGGGUGAGUAACACGUGGAUAACCUACCUAUAAGACUGGGAUAACUUCGGGAAACCGGAGCUAAUACCGGAUAAUAUUUUGAACCGCAUGGUUCAAAAGUGAAAGACGGUCUUGCUGUCACUUAUAGAUGGAUCCGCGCUGCAUUAGCUAGUUGGUAAGGUAACGGCUUACCAAGGCAACGAUGCAUAGCCGACCUGAGAGGGUGAUCGGCCACACUGGAACUGAGACACGGUCCAGACUCCUACGGGAGGCAGCAGUAGGGAAUCUUCCGCAAUGGGCGAAAGCCUGACGGAGCAGCGCCGCGUGAGUGAUGAAGGUCUUCGGAUCGUAAAACUCUGUUAUUAGGGAAGAACAUAUGUGUAAGUAACUGUGCACAUCUUGACGGUACCUAAUCAGAAAGCCACGGCUAACUACGUG
This 496-nucleotide ribosomal RNA is filed under the name uncultured bacterium. Its description in RNAcentral is "partial 16S ribosomal RNA". It matches the Rfam family "Bacterial small subunit ribosomal RNA", at positions 29 to 507 of the family's 1533-position model. The record is from RNAcentral.